RNAcentral lists this ribosomal RNA (496 nucleotides) under uncultured bacterium. RNAcentral's name for it is "partial 16S ribosomal RNA". It matches the Rfam family "Bacterial small subunit ribosomal RNA", at positions 28 to 507 of the family's 1533-position model. The record is from RNAcentral.
GACGAACGCUGGCGGCACGCCUAACACAUGCAAGUCGAGCGGUUCGGAGAUUGGAACUGAGGGAUUAAGGAAUUAAUCUCUGAGCUCCAAUUUCCGGAUAGCGGCGGACGGGUGAGUAACACGUGAGGAACCUGCCUUUCAGAGGGGGAUAACGUUUGGAAACGAACGCUAAUACCGCAUGAAGUAUAUUUACGGCAUCGUAGAUAUACCAAAGGAGCAAUCCGCUGAAAGAUGGCCUCGCGGCUGAUUAGCUAGUUGGCGGGGUAACGGCCCACCAAGGCGACGAUCAGGAGCCGGACUGAGAGGUUGAACGGCCACAUUGGGACUGAGACACGGCCCAGACUCCUACGGGAGGCAGCAGUGGGGGAUAUUGCACAAUGGGCGAAAGCCUGAUGCAGCGAUGCCGCGUGGAGGAAGAAGGUCUUCGGAUUGUAAACUCCUGUCUUUAGGGACGAUAAUGACGGUACCUAAGGAGGAAGCUCCGGCUAACUACGUG